CUUGAGCGAGCCCAGCCACAGCGGCCGGUCCUCGGGGCGGCCCUGCCCGUAGGCGGCCAGCAGCGCGCGGGCCUC
This 75-nucleotide antisense RNA is filed under the name Streptomyces albus. RNAcentral describes it as "ASpks TB sRNA". It matches the Rfam family "ASpks TB sRNA". The record is from RNAcentral. Lineage: Bacteria; Bacillati; Actinomycetota; Actinomycetes; Kitasatosporales; Streptomycetaceae. RNAcentral also lists the same sequence under 1 other name.